UAACAAUUUCCUAGCCAUCAGGCAUCCUAUCUCACUCAAAAUGUAAGCCAUUGGAGGAAUAUCGCUAAUCAUAUCCAAUGUUUCUUUUCUUCCAUUCUAUUGCCAAUCGAUUAUUUCAAAUUUCAAAUAAUAUUUUCAACAACUGACAAAACAUUAAACCCCAUGAUAUAAUAUAGCCGACUAUGAAAAGUUGCAUAUUUUACAACGGUUCCAAACUCGACCAAUGUAAGCUUGUAAGGUGCUCCCAUAGAUCCGAAAGAUGCGUUAGACUCAUUUCAAUCAACCAUAAGAUAGUGUGUAGUAUGUGCAAAACGAUAUUCACAAGGUACUUUCUCACGCUGCACUGUUUUAGACUAUACAUGUCUUAGAUUGCUUGCAAAUCGACUACAUCUCUCAAUAUUGAUGGACGAAUAGCAUUGCAAUCCACACAUCCCUCCGUCUAUGAUAGUAGCCAAGAUAAUGGAACGUUUUCAGGAGAACGAUCGAGGUCGCUUGGUGCGAGGAGUUCGGUCUCAGAAAGAUCGAAACGGGUCGGUUGAUCUGUUAUCCACAUCAAUGCCGGCCGGACCUGGCCACGUUGACAGUUUCAACUCUUCUGGACCACCAUCGCCAAUACCGAUUCCACGCCAUUCUUCUCUUGCCUCUUAGACCCACUUUAGAAAAUGUAUUUGUCACCUGUUCUCUUCAAUUUUAUAUAUUUUCCUAGUUUACAAACUCUCACAGGACUGCAGGCAAUCAACUAUUCGUAAUCUCUCGAACUUUAUACGACCAUACAAAUAUACUUAUUUUGGAAAAUGUCUUUUUAAACUUCUCUACACUAUUUACACUUUUUCUAGAAGUUUAAGUUUUGAAGGCAUUCCCCCACUUUGAGGUAGGAAAACAGUAUUUUCAUACAUCCCAUGUCACGAGCUCACGUUUGAAUAUCUGAUAAUAUAAUCCUCAUUUCAGGCGACAAUUAGCUAAUAAAAAUGUUGCACUUUUAUAAUGCAUAAAUGUCUUAAAACCAUCACUUUAAAGCUUUAAGAACAAUUUAAAAAAACAUAUCGCUAGAUAUACCUAUAUUUAUCUCGACAGAACUGUUCGAGGAAAGACAAUUCACUCAAUCGAUAGAUUUUGCUCUUUGGAACCCCCUUUUUUAAUCUGACCAGGAAAAAAGUCUGUAACCUAAAAUUUUAACAAUUCACGUUAGGUCAUUUUACAGGGAAACGCAAUGGUUUCCUAGAAUAGCAACAGCAUGCAAUUACUUCGUGCGGAAAACUGAUCAGAUAUUUUUGAGAAUCUCUGGAAAAGGUAUUUACACAUUAAAUAGAUUUGUACCUUCAAAUCCUGUUAGCUGAUUAUAAAAAUGUAUAAAACA
Long non-coding RNA from Uranotaenia lowii, 1357 nucleotides. RefSeq lists it as uncharacterized. Lineage: Eukaryota; Metazoa; Arthropoda; Insecta; Diptera; Culicidae. The transcript is spliced from 2 exons. The record is from RefSeq and is a predicted model, not a curated record.